Molecule: long non-coding RNA, 424 nt
Filed under: Rattus norvegicus (Norway rat)
Lineage: Eukaryota; Metazoa; Chordata; Mammalia; Rodentia; Muridae
Description: long non-coding RNA NONRATT000152
Source: RNAcentral
GGGAAGAUAGCGGUUCUUAGGGUGCGCGCGCGGUGUGAUGUUCCUAUAAGUGCCUGGAAGCUGCAGCCCCUGGUCCGAGGCUUCCAGCAGGUUUGCGAUGUCUAAGAACAGGGGAGACCAGUCUGCAAAGUUGGAGAGCCCGUGGCUCAUCCGCUGCUGAGCCCUCUGCGUGCGCGGGAAGCCAGUCUGUACCUCGGCGGCUGCCACUGACCAUGACCAUGACCCUUCACACCAAAGCCUCGGGAAUGGCCUUGUUGCACCAGAUCCAAGGGAACGAGCUGGAGCCCCUCAAUCGCCCGCAGCUCAAGAUGCCCAUGGAGAGGGCUCUGGGCGAGGUGUACGUGGACAACAGCAAGCCCGCCGUGUUCAACUACCCCGAGGGCGCCGCCUACGAGUUCAACGCCGCCGCCGCCGCCGCGGCCGC